GAAAUGCGAUAAGUAGUGUGAAUUGCAGAAUUCAGUGAAUCAUCGAAUCUUUGAACGCACAUUGCGCCCCUCGGUAUUCCGUGGGGCAUGCCUGUUCGAGCGUCAUUUCAACCAUCAAGCCCCCGGGCUUGUGUUGGGGACCUGCGGCUGCCCGCAGGCCCUGAAAACCAGUGGCGGGCUCGCUGUCACACCGAGCGUAGUAGCAAUCACCUCGCUCAGGGCGUGCUGCGGGUUCCGGCCGUUAAACAGCCUUACAAAACCCAAGGUUGACCUCGGAUCAGGUAGGAAGACCCGCUGAACUUAAGC
This 306-nucleotide unclassified non-coding RNA is filed under the name plant metagenome. Its description in RNAcentral is "partial contains 5.8S ribosomal RNA, internal transcribed spacer 2, and large subunit ribosomal RNA". The stretch from base 1 to 105 matches the Rfam family "5.8S ribosomal RNA", at positions 50 to 154 of the family's 154-position model. The record is from RNAcentral.